Molecule: long non-coding RNA, 393 nt
Filed under: Lactuca sativa (garden lettuce)
Lineage: Eukaryota; Viridiplantae; Streptophyta; Magnoliopsida; Asterales; Asteraceae
Description: long non-coding RNA (LSAT_LNC009423)
Source: RNAcentral
CCCCCGCUUUAAGGAAUGUCAUAGUGGUUCAUUUAAAGGUAACUUGGACAAUAUUUUAAGCUUAGUUCUAAUUGGUAUUUAACUAACUAACCUUUUGUUUUUGUAGAAUAAGUUUGAUUUAGAUAACGUUAACUUGGAUCCCGAGCGUGCUCAGUUGUUGCAGAGCAUUGAUGCGACCUUGCAAAGAAUUUAUAGAGGCCGAAAAAAUAAAGCGCAUACUUAUUUUGAGAAUGUCGGGGGGCUUACAGAUAUCCCAAGGGCAUUAGCCAACCCCCCCGAUGGUAUGUCACGUGAAAAUUGGGCGCAAGCAGUCGAGCAUUUUCAAACUCCUGAAUUUCUAAAGCGUUCGGCGUCAAACAAAGGAGUCCGUGCACAACAACAAGUUGUAAACAG